AAGGAACCUUCUCCACACUCCUGGAUCUAAAUCCAUGGGAAUCUAUUGGAAUGAUGGAGGUGGAUCUUGGAUCCUGGCUGGAAUCCUGGGAUCUGAGGACCCAAAUCCAGGGAUAACCGAGGUGGAUCUUGGAUCCAGACUGGAAUCCUGGAAUUCCCAGAGCGGGAAUCCAGCCAAGCUUUGAGGGAACCUUCUCCAGAGUCAUGGAGGUGAAUCCAUGGGAAUGACCAAGGUGGAUCUUGGAUCCCAGCUGGAAUCCUGGAAUUCCCAGAGCGGGAAUCCAGCCAAGCUUUGCGGGAACCUUCUCCAGAGUCAUGGAGGUGAAUCCAUGGGAAUGACCAAGGUGG
Molecule: long non-coding RNA, 347 nt
Organism: Serinus canaria (Common canary)
Lineage: Eukaryota; Metazoa; Chordata; Aves; Passeriformes; Fringillidae
Exons: 3
Source: RefSeq, a predicted model, not a curated record